This 253-nucleotide ribosomal RNA is filed under the name uncultured bacterium. Its description in RNAcentral is "partial 16S ribosomal RNA". It matches the Rfam family "Bacterial small subunit ribosomal RNA", at positions 524 to 776 of the family's 1533-position model. The record is from RNAcentral.
UACGUAGGCAGCGAGCGUUGUUCGGAAUUACUGGGCGUAAAGAGUGUGUAGGCGGUGCUCUAAGUUUGGUGUGAAAUCUCCCGGCUCAACCGGGAGGGUGCAUCGAAAACUGGAGUGCUCGAGGGUGGGAGAGGUAAGCGGAAUUCCUGGUGUAGCGGUGAAAUGCGUAGAUAUCGGGAGGAACACCUGUGGUGUAGACAGCUUACUGGACCACUUCUGACGCUGAGACACGAAAGCGUGGGUAGCAAACAGG